This 665-nucleotide ribosomal RNA is filed under the name uncultured bacterium. RNAcentral's name for it is "bacterial SSU rRNA". It matches the Rfam family "Bacterial small subunit ribosomal RNA", at positions 218 to 922 of the family's 1533-position model. The record is from RNAcentral.
GUGGCGGAUAGGCUCGCGGGACAUUAGCUAGACGGCGGGGCAACGGCCCACCGUGGCGACGAUGUCUAGGGGUUCUGAAGGAAGCCCCCCCACACUGGGACUGAGACACGGCCCAGACUCCUACGGGAGGCAGCAGUGAGGAAUAUUGGUCAAUGGGCGGAAGCCUGAACCAGCCAUGCCGCGUGAAGGACUAAGGCCUACGGGUCGUAAACUUCUUUAGACGCAGAGCGAGUAUGCGUAGAAUAAGCAUCGGCUAACUCCGUGCCAGCAGCCGCGGUAAUACGGGGGAUGCAAGCGUUAUCCGGAUUCAUUAGGUUUAAAGGGUGCGUAGGCGGCCGAGUAAGUCAGCGGUGAAAGACCGGGGCUCAACCCUGGAAGUGCCGUUGAUACUGUUUGGCUGGAAUGAUCCCGCCGCGGGAGGAAUGAGUGGUGUAGCGGUGAAAUGCAUAGAUAUCACUCAGAACACCGAUUGCGAAGGCAUCUCGCGAGGGGUCUAUUGACGCUGAGGCACGAAAGCGUGGGGAUCGAACAGGAUUAGAUACCCUGGUAGUCCACGCAGUAAACAUGAUGGCUAACUGUCGGGCGGCGGCCAAGCGAAAGCGAUAAGCCAUCCACCUGGGGAGUACGACCGCAAGGUUGAAACUCAAAGGACUUGACGGAAGGGC